GUACUGCCGCACUGUUGCGUACGGCCGUACUGGUCGCCACGGAUACUGCGCAGUACAAGGUAUUAGACUGGAACUACGGGGUUUCGGCCCUAGAAAUGACGAGGCGAUAGUGGAGCACAGGAUUGCAGUGCUGCAUGGGAAGGUCGCAAGAGAGGCAUAGUCGCAGCACAAGAUCGUAGUGUUGCAAAGGGAGUUUGCUGGACUAGCCGCAUCAGAAAGGUCACUACAAGAGGAUUGGAGCAAAAUUGUGAUGCCGAUACGAGGCAGAGCUGUGAGGCGGCAUUAGAGUUGCGAGGCGGAGCUGCUAGGGUUUGGGUAACGGAGCCCUGUCGUAAAGAGUAGUGCGAGGCAAAACAAGGCUGCAAAGGAUUGUUGAGGCGCUUUGAGCUAGGCGAUACAACGCAAGGACUUGGUACAAGUUCAAGAAAAAUAUCAAGGAUCCGCGGUUGCAAACAGCGACUCAAACCGUCAGUACACAUAUAUUCAUAGGUCCACGCUGAUAAGUCCCACGCGGCCAUAGGUCCAUGAUGCACAGAUUUUCCAUGGUCAUAAAUCCAUGUUGCAUAAGUUCUCUACGAUCAUAAAACCGUGGUGACAGGAUUUGCGGUCAUAGAACCUCGGUAAUAAAUAUGUGGUCAUAGGACUCAUUAUUCAGUUAUAAAGCAUUGAAAAAAAAAAAAAAAAAAAAAAAAAAAAAUUAUCCA
Physcomitrium patens is the source of this 704-nucleotide non-coding RNA. The record is from RefSeq and is a predicted model, not a curated record. NCBI's taxonomy places the organism in Eukaryota, Viridiplantae, Streptophyta, Bryopsida, Funariales, Funariaceae.